CAAUGCAUUUGCCUUGUGGAGCCCUAGGGAACAGAAAAGCGUAGGCGAGCAGCUGGCAGCCACCAUCGCAUUUGCUCCCAGAAGGCAAGACGAGGAAGAGAAAAUUCCAGAACUAUUUAUGCGUCUGGGACCCUGAGGAUCCGUAUUCAUUCCCCGUCGGCUCAAGCCCAGCCUCCGCGGGCGGCGCGUGUCCACGAGGAGGCGGUGUGGACCCGCGGGCGCCGGACCAGGCCUCAGGCAGGAGGGAGACAUGAGACAUCAAUCAACAUAUACAAGAUGAACAUUGGUUCCAUCUGGAAAGGCGGGACAACUGGAGGCAAACCCGGGAAGACUCGAAGCGGGGAGGGGCUUCCAGGUCACAAGUGAUCACAUUCUUUUGAGUGUCUGAUGAGCCUCUCCAAAGGAGGCAAUCAGAGAUGCAUUUAUGUCAGUGAGCAGAGGGGUGACUUUGAAUUUAAUGGGAGGCAGAUUGACCCUAAUCAGUCCCCAGCUUGACUUUUCCCUUUAGUUUAGUGAUUUGGGGGGCCCCAAGAUUUAUUUUCUUUCAUAGAAUGUACAUUCUGCAGUUGUUGGGUAGAAUGUUCUGUGAAUAUCUGUUAAAUAUAUUUGUUUUAUGGUAUA
Long non-coding RNA from Symphalangus syndactylus (siamang), 621 nucleotides. RefSeq lists it as uncharacterized. The record is from RefSeq and is a predicted model, not a curated record. Lineage: Eukaryota; Metazoa; Chordata; Mammalia; Primates; Hylobatidae.